This is a long non-coding RNA of Oncorhynchus tshawytscha (Chinook salmon), 1077 nucleotides long. The record is from Ensembl. Lineage: Eukaryota; Metazoa; Chordata; Actinopteri; Salmoniformes; Salmonidae.
CCCACUGUUCCUAGGCCAGUUAACCCACUGUUCCUAGACCAGUUAACCCACUGUUCCUAGACCAGUUAACCCACUGUUCCUAGACCAAUUAACCCACUGUUCCUUGACCAGUUAACGCACUGUUCCUAGGCCAGUUAACCCACUGUUCCUAGACCAGUUAACCCACUGUUCCUAGACCAGUUAACCCACUGUUCCUAGGCCAGUUAACCCACUGUUCCUAGACCAGUUAAUCCACUGUUCCUAGACCAGUUAACCCACUGUUCCUAGGUCUGUUCCUAGACCAGUUAACCCAAUGUUCCUAGGCCAGUUAACCCACUGUUCCUAGACCAGUUAACCCACUGUUCCUAGGCCAGUUAACCCACUGUUCCUAGGCCAGUUAACCCACUGUUCCUAGACCAGUUAACCCACUGUUCCUAGGCCAGUUAACCCACUGUUCCUAGACCAGUUAACCCACUGUUCCUAGGCCAGUUAACCCACUGUUCCUUGACCAGUUAACCCACUGUUCCUAGACCAGUUAAUCCACUGUUCCUAGACCAGUUAACCCACUGUUCCUAGGUCAUUGAAAAUAUGAAUUUGUUCUUAACCUUCUUGCCUCGUUAAAUAAAAGUUAAACAAAGGUCAAAUAAUGGUUAAAUAAAAACAAAUAAAACAAUAACAUUCUUAAAUGGAGGAAGUUUGGAACCACCAAGACUCUUCCUAGAGCUGGCCACCCGGCCAAACUGACCAAUCGGGGGAGAAGGGCCUUGGUCAGGGAGGUGACCAAGAACCCGAUUUUCACUCUGACAGAGCUCCACAGUUUAUCUGUGGAGAUGGGAGAACCUUCCAGAAGGACAACCAUCUCUGCAGCACUUCACCAAUCAGCCCUUUGUGGUAGAGUGGCCAGAUGGAAGCCACUCCUCAGUAAAAGGCACAUGACAGCCCGCUUGGAGUUUGCCAAAAGGCACCAAAAAGACUCUCAGAUCAUAAGAAACAAGAUUCUCUGGUCUGAUUAAACCAAGAUUGAACUCUUUGGCCUGAAUGCCAAGUGUCACGUCUGGAGGAAACAUGGCACCAUCCCUACCGUGAAGCAUGGUGGUG